AUUUUCUUAGUAUAACUAAUACAAGUGACUUCCAAUCAUUAAAUUUUGGCUAAUCCCCAAGAGAAAAUA
This 69-nucleotide transfer RNA is filed under the name Limnonectes gyldenstolpei. RNAcentral's name for it is "tRNA-Gly". Lineage: Eukaryota; Metazoa; Chordata; Amphibia; Anura; Dicroglossidae. The record is from RNAcentral.